RNAcentral lists this long non-coding RNA (766 nucleotides) under Cavia porcellus (domestic guinea pig). RNAcentral's name for it is "lncRNA (ENSCPOG00000036915.1)". The record is from RNAcentral. Lineage: Eukaryota; Metazoa; Chordata; Mammalia; Rodentia; Caviidae.
UUGAGUCAGUUUAUGUUAUUUAAAGCCUAUGUGAUGUGUUUUCUUAUAAUGUACUGUUAGCUGAUGUUGUUUUUUCACUCCUCAGUUGCUAGCUUGCAGAGAAGAAGAACGAGAUGACAAGACAACGAUAAAAUGUGAAACUUCCCCUCUCUCCUCUCCGAAGUCCCUUCAGCUAGACAGGCUGCACACAGGGGCGUUGCAAAUAGUCAGCCACGAGGACAUCAGGGACAUGCAAAAAUCAAAAAGUGCCCAGGAUGGUCGUGUGAGCAAUCCCAAUAGCAGUGACAGCAGGCAGGACUCACCCCACAAAGCCCCAAAGAAGAAGGGCAUCAAGUCCUCCAUUGGUCGUUUGUUUGGCAAAAAGGAAAAGGGUCGGCCUGGACAAACUGGCAAAGAAUCACCAGGACAAGAAACCUCAUCUCAGGAUGCGUUCCGACAUAGCAAAUUGGGAGGAAAGGAUGAAAAAAAUCGUCAACUUCAAAAACACUCAACAGGCUCCCAGGAAGGUCCUGUGAACAAUCCCAGUACCAGUGACAGCAGGCAGGAUGCGCUCCACAAAGCCCCAAAGAAGAAGAGCAUCAAGUCCUCCACUGGUCGUUUGUUUGGCAAAAAGAAAAAGGUUCUGCCUGGACAAACUGGCAAAGAAUCACCAAGACAAGGUGGGCCGGUUUUAGGCAGCUGUCCUAACUGCUGGGAUUGGGAGAGCCUGAGAUUUUUCCUAUGUGCCUGCUGCCGGUGUCCAGUGCCCACGAGGAGUCAUGGCUGA